Molecule: long non-coding RNA, 2823 nt
Organism: Sorghum bicolor (sorghum)
Lineage: Eukaryota; Viridiplantae; Streptophyta; Magnoliopsida; Poales; Poaceae
Exons: 2
Source: RefSeq, a predicted model, not a curated record
AUUAUAAUUGAAAUCUUCUCCAGGCAAAUCCCACCUACAAGAUCAACGACUUACAGCACAUGUCAUACAGAUUAGACGGCCCAGAUUAAAAGUAUGAUCACGACCUUACAUCUCUACUCUUCGCCCUACUCUCCGCGGCGGCGGCGGCUGCUGCGGCGUCGGCCCCUGCCUCACCGCGCUCUUCCUCCUCCUCGCGCUCGCGGGCUUCCUCCUCUGGCCCGCCGACCCGGACGUCUCCCUCGCCCGCCUCCGCCUCGCGCACGUCUCCGUCGUGGUGCGCCCCGCCGUCGCCGUCACCAUAUCCGCCACGCUCAAGGUCCGCGUCCGCAACCCGGACUUCUUCGCGCUCGACUACAACCGCCUCGACGUCGCCAUCGGCUACCGCGGUGCGCCUCUGCGCGGUAGUGUCGGAGCCACACACACCGCCGCCUGGGCCCUUGUCGCCGCCGGUCGGCCAGCCAUGACAGCCUGGAUCUAUGCCCCGCCGGCCCCCUUGCUAGGCACGGGAGAUCGUGCCCCGCCACCUCAUGGAGAGCUCGCGCUCCCUUGCCAUAGAUCGAACCCCUGCAGACACACAAAGAGGUAACGCACGCCACCUGCUCGCUGAAUAUCGAGGACGACCUCGCAUGUGCCAUUCGUGGCCUCUCCUGGAGUUCAGAGCUCGCGCCUGCCCCAGGCCUUCAGAGGUCAUCUCGCAAGCAGCUGAGCAACAAAUUAAGGGUGACUAGGCGAGACACACCUUCAGUAUGAAGUACGAGAUACGUCCUCCAAGUACACUGCACACUGAUAUUCUUUAGAUCCCUUGAAAUUUUUAAUUAUUUGGCCUAAAAUUAAUUCAUGUUCUGCACAUUACUUGUAAGUUAAAUAUCAGCCUCAAUAUUUGACAUGUGUUUUAGCUUUGCUUCUUGGUUAGUAACGAUGAUAAAUUAUUUGUUGAAAGUUAAAUGAAUUAGCAUAAAUUUUCAAAUGAAUGGACUGAAUCAACGUGAUUCAGAUUAGCAGAGAUAGAAGGUUGAACUUUUAAAUUUUUUAGUGCAUCUCAUAAUAAGCACAGCAGUACAACACAGUCUCUAAGACCGUGGUGGUCAUAUAUGAGUUGAUUAAAUCUUGAAAUGCUGCAGUUGAAGUCAAAAUGCAGCACCAUGGUUUACUAUGGAUAGGAUUGAAUAAUGGUAUAUGUAUAAAAAAAGUAGACUUUAGGUUUCUGCCAACUCAUUAUCUUUAAUCUGACAUUUUUAUGCUAUAAUAAAAACUAAUGCAACGACUUUGUUGAAUUAGUCUCAUUUGUACAUAGUACCAUAUAUCUUUAUUUGCCAUGCACUAGAUGGAUUUGAGUAGGUACAAAGAUGGGUCGGCAUACAAAGAAAUUAAUAGGGGUGUUGGAACUAUAGAGUCGAGGAAUGGGAUUGGAUUCAAUUGAAACAUUUUAUAUUGAGUUUUUUAUUUAAAUAUCUCUGUUAUUUUCUCCUUGACCUUUAGAGCUUCAGCUCUCCUGGGAUUUGUGUGCUCAUCAAUCCUGUUGCUUGUAUCUGUGAGAUUUUGUGACAUAUUGCCUUAAAAAAAAGUAAGUGCAGCUGAGUCUAAUAAGACGUUCUGAAGUGAUAAUCAAAUCGUCUUUAUAUUUUUAAGUAUGCUACAUAUAGAUAUAUUUGGAAUUGCUACAUUACUAGAGUGCAAAGUUAAAGUGGUUCAUUCAUUUAACCUAAAAGAUGCAUAAAUCUGAAAUGUUUGUCUUCGUGCCUAAAUAUGAAUAUUUAUAUAAUACACAUUUGAUGGUAAUUAUUGCAAAUUUGCUUCAAUAUUAGUUCUUAUGCUAAGAAGUGUACACUUUUGCAUACUGGAAAUUUUAAUGAUCCCUUGCCCUCAAUGUUUCUAUUGUGGCUACCCAUCACAUGGUAUUUCGUAAGAUCAUUCGUUAACUAUCCUUUCAGUAUUAAGCGUGCAUCUCACUUCUGAACUCAAGACUGCUUUUGUAGAUUAGAGAGGAUGUUAGAAACUCAAAGCUUCCUGUGUUUUCAUCAUUUAAAGAAAUACAAGGAGUUGGUUUUAACUAUGAAGCUUAAUCUGCAAUUAGAGAUGGAACUUGAAAAUGCUGCAUGUACUGACCAAGUGUAGUUACUCUGUUGUUUGCCUCUGAGCCACCUGAUAAGUCAUAGUAUCCCCCUACAACCAACAUUAAUAUUUCUAUUUAUGUGCCUACAAUUUCAUAUGUUAGGAUGUGGUGCUUGAGAAUGUUUCCUAUGUUCGGAUGUGCAUAAUUGGUCAAACAAAUAUUUUUAUUUGUGUCUAAAAUUUCUUUUCUGACUAUAUAUAUUUUGUAAAAUCCAAUUUUAAGGGUUUUUCUUGUGUAAUUCUUGGGAAGCUAGGAUCCGUUUAUUUGCUCCAGAGAUUGGUUUUGCUUCAAAUUAGCUUGUAGUCAGAUUCUAUUUAUAUUCAAUUCUAUUCAAUUUUCGGUUCAGAAUUCUCAGUGCGUGAUUGGUUGCAGGGAAAUCAAAGUAAGAAAGGAGCCAUCAUAGCAGAGAUUCCGGAAGGUGUGGCCUUCCUAUUUCCUGUUGGGCUAUUGACUUGUUGAUAUGGUGUAGAAAACUAAAUCCUCAGAGAACAUUGACAGAUGCAAAGUAAUUUUUCACAUGCCAUAUGUUUCAUUCACGAGAACACUACCCAGUGCUUGCUGUAUAUAUCACCAAUGGUUAUCAAUCAUAUUAUUGUCAUGGUCGUUAAUAUGGCUUGAAAUAGAUGAUGUUGAGACUUUGUAGAUUGUAAUAAUUGUUAAACUGCUUCCCAGCUUGAGUAUUAAUAGUAUUUCAAAAACGGAAAUUUGUA